GCUUACGCCAUACCACCCUGAACACGCCGAUCUCGAUCUCGGAAGCUAAGCAGGUCGGGCCGGUUAGUACUUGGAUGGGAGACCGCCUGGGAAUACCAGUGCUGUAAGCU
Molecule: ribosomal RNA, 110 nt
Filed under: Labrus bergylta (ballan wrasse)
Lineage: Eukaryota; Metazoa; Chordata; Actinopteri; Labriformes; Labridae
Source: RNAcentral